Long non-coding RNA from Oncorhynchus gorbuscha (pink salmon), 659 nucleotides. RefSeq lists it as uncharacterized. The record is from RefSeq and is a predicted model, not a curated record. Lineage: Eukaryota; Metazoa; Chordata; Actinopteri; Salmoniformes; Salmonidae. The transcript is spliced from 3 exons.
AAAGAGGAAAGGCCACUUAUUGAGAUGUGCCUUUUGUUAACUAAAUCGUCUGUUAAAUUAGGUAAAAGGGAGACUGGAGGAGGACUUGAAGAGCGACUUAACUUGAAUAUGUUUUGAUCAGUUGGUGCAUUGAUGAACACAGUGACGUACAUCAGUAUAAAUAAAGCCACAUUUAAGUGUUUGACUGAGAGCUGAUGUAUGCUGCUAUGCCCAUCAAUGGGGCCCUGGAAAAGACCUCAACUCUUGCCUGCUCACCAACGGUCAUCAAUAGGGAGAACAGAAAUAGAAACAUGUAUGGAGUCAGCAUAUGGAGACUUGCAAGAUGAUGUGAUGGAAGUCCAGACUGGCAGACGGGCUUCAUACUGAUGUCUCUGAAGGGAGAAAGACCUGGCACUCGGCAUUAACAUUUUACUAGACACAAUUUUCCUUGUAUUUCUUUUAUUAAAUGGUAUCAGACAAUAUGUGUAGGGAGGAACCCUGUGUAUUCUGAACCAGGAUCAGGGAUCUCCUGUUGUGAGCGGGACACCACACAGGAAGGUAUGGCUACUCGGACAUGUUUGCUAAGGUAGCCCCAAAACCUCCAGACAAAAUGCAGAUCGGCACAAUAUUUGUAUCGGCUGGGAACGACAAUAAAAGAUGAAAGGUUCACAUUGUUAUAU